Molecule: ribosomal RNA, 497 nt
Filed under: uncultured bacterium
Lineage: Bacteria
Description: partial 16S ribosomal RNA
Rfam family: Bacterial small subunit ribosomal RNA
Source: RNAcentral
GAUGAGCGCUGGCGGCGUGCCUAAUACAUGCAAGUCGAGCGAACAGAUGAGGAGCUUGCUCCUCUGACGUUAGCGGCGGACGGGUGAGUAACACGUGGAUAACCUACCUAUAAGACUGGGAUAACUUCGGGAAACCGGAGCUAAUACCGGAUAAUAUAUUGAACCGCAUGGUUCAAUAGUGAAAGACGGUUUUGCUGUCACUUAUAGAUGGAUCCGCGCCGCAUUAGCUAGUUGGUAAGGUAACGGCUUACCAAGGCAACGAUGCGUAGCCGACCUGAGAGGGUGAACGGCCACACUGGAACUGAGACACGGUCCAGACUCCUACGGGAGGCAGCAGUAGGGAAUCUUCCGCAGUGGGCGAAAGCCUGACGGAGCAACGCCGCGUGAGUGAUGAAGGUCUUCGGAUCGUAAAACUCUGUUAUUAGGGAAGAACAAAUGUGUAAGUAACUAUGCACGUCUUGACGGUACCUAAUCAGAAAGCCACGGCUAACUACGUG